Molecule: ribosomal RNA, 253 nt
Filed under: uncultured bacterium
Lineage: Bacteria
Description: partial 16S ribosomal RNA
Rfam family: Bacterial small subunit ribosomal RNA
Source: RNAcentral
UACGUAGGUGGCAAGCGUUGUCCGGAUUUACUGGGCGUAAAGAGCGCGCAGGCGGUCGUUCAAGUCGCGUGUGAAAGCCCCCGGCUCAACUGGGGAGGGUCACGCGAUACUGAUCGACUCGAAGGCAGGAGAGGGUAGUGGAAUUCCCGGUGUAGUGGUGAAAUGCGUAGAUAUCGGGAGGAACACCAGUGGCGAAGGCGACUCUUUGGCCUGUAACUGACGCUGAGGCGCGAAAGCGUGGGGAGCAAACAGG